AACGAACGCUGGCGGCAUGCCUAACACAUGCAAGUCGAACGAGACCUUCGGGUCUAGUGGCGCACGGGUGCGUAACGCGUGGGAACCUGCCCUUAGGUUCGGAAUAACUCCCCGAAUGGGGUGCUAAUACCGGUUAAUGUCUUCUGACCAAAGAUUUAUCGCCUUUGGAUGGGCCCGCGUUGGAUUAGCUUGUUGGUAGGGUAAAAGCCUACCAAGGCGAGGAUCCAUAGCUGGUCUGAGAGGAUGAUAAGCCACACUGGGACUGAGACACGGCCCAGAAUACUACGGGAGGAAGCAGAGGGGAAGAUAGGAAAAGGGGCGAAAGCCUGAUCAAGCAAGGCGGCGUGAGUGAUGAAGGCCUUAGGGAAGUAAAGCUCUUUUAAACGGGAUGAUAAUGACAGUACCGGGAGAAUAAGCACCGGCUAACUACGUG
This 433-nucleotide ribosomal RNA is filed under the name uncultured bacterium. RNAcentral's name for it is "partial 16S ribosomal RNA". It matches the Rfam family "Bacterial small subunit ribosomal RNA", at positions 29 to 507 of the family's 1533-position model. The record is from RNAcentral.